CGGGUGAGGAACGCGUGGAGAACCUACCCCGGCGUGGGGGAUACCCGCCAGAAAUGGUGGCUAAUACCGCGUACGGUCCAGGGGCGAGAGGCCAUCUGGAAGAAAGCAGUGAUGCGCGCUGGGAGGGGUCUGCGCCCGAUUAGCUGGUUGGCGGGGUAACGGCCCACCAAGGCGGUGAUCGGUAGCUGGUCUGAGAGGAUGAUCAGCCACACGGGGACUGAGACACGGCCCCG
RNAcentral lists this ribosomal RNA (233 nucleotides) under uncultured bacterium. RNAcentral describes it as "partial 16S ribosomal RNA". It matches the Rfam family "Bacterial small subunit ribosomal RNA", at positions 103 to 334 of the family's 1533-position model. The record is from RNAcentral.